Molecule: long non-coding RNA, 1047 nt
Filed under: Anser cygnoides (Swan goose)
Lineage: Eukaryota; Metazoa; Chordata; Aves; Anseriformes; Anatidae
Description: lncRNA (ENSACDG00005015548.1)
Source: RNAcentral
AUGCGAGGGGGGAGGAGGGGGAGACGCUGCGCCGGGGGGGCUGCGGCGGCCCCGGGCACAGCGCCCAUGGGUGGGCACGGGGGGACGGGGCACCUUCCCGCGCCGGUGCCUGGUGGAAAGGGAACAUCCGAGGCAAUAAUCACAUUAUUUGGAAAUCACGUUAUUUGGACUUUAUCUCGGCUGCCAUUACUCUGCCACGUGCGUUAUUCCGUCAUCUCGUGGCAGGCGAUGACGGAGGCAAGAUGCUCGACGCCACCCGGCACAACGGCAUCGCCAGCUCUCCGAGGCGCUGAUGAAAUCGGCAACUCGAUUGAUGUGAAUCAAUUUUCUUUUUUUUUGGCAGAAAAUCACGGAAUUCCCACCAGCUUCAGCACCCGGUGUUGCGCGUGGGACUUGUAUCCCUCCCAUAGCCCGCCAGCUUUGCUGUGUUUUUCCACCCCGUGUUCAAAUAUCGCCGAAAAUUACCCCAAACAGGGAGGUCAAUGCCUCCGAACGCACAACCGGCUGCGGGGGAGGAAGGGAGUAACACGUUCCCUGGGUUUGUUUGGGACAAGCAGUGAUGGGUUUGGGCUGCUGCCUGGGAAGGCUGAGGGCAGGAGGGACAGCCCCAGCCCCUCGGGGCAGAGCAUGGGGUCCCUUGUGGGGUUUUUCCGGCCAGGGUUGGCAGCGGGUGUGCAGGGAGAGGCCAGGGUGAGCGGGUCCUGCUUGAGGGGCCCUUGGGGUGGGCUAACGGAGCCUUUGCCCCGCUGCACGGGGGGGUGGCAGUCCACGGUGGCCUUUGAGGAGGUGCAGAAGGAGACACAGCCCCUCUCAGCCCUUUCUCUGACGGUCUCAGGGGAAGGAGCAGGGGUGGCAGCAAGGCUCGGGAGCUGCUUUUUGCCAAGGGGUCAGCUCGGUGGAGGCAGGGAUCCCUCCUGCGCUGCCAAAACCAGCAGCAGGGCUGGAGCCCAGCAGGUGCUUGGAUGUCACCUGCCUGCCCCCACCUCUGCAGCCCCCCCACCCCCCCCGGCUGCCUUGUCACCCCCAGCCCUCCUCGCCUGCUGGUAA